RNAcentral lists this ribosomal RNA (472 nucleotides) under uncultured bacterium. RNAcentral describes it as "bacterial SSU rRNA". It matches the Rfam family "Bacterial small subunit ribosomal RNA", at positions 329 to 793 of the family's 1533-position model. The record is from RNAcentral.
CUACGCACUCCUACGGGAGGCAGCAGUGGGGAAUAUUGCACAAUGGGCGCAAGCCUGAUGCAGCCAUGCCGCGUGUAUGAAGAAGGCCUUCGGGUUGUAAAGUACUUUCAGCAGUGAGGAAGGUGGGUAUGUUAAUAGCAUACUCAUUUGACGUUAGCUGCAGAAGAAGCACCGGCUAACUCCGUGCCAGCAGCCGCGGUAAUACGGAGGGUGCGAGCGUUAAUCGGGAAUUACUGGGCGUAAAGCGCAUGCAGGUGGUUUGUUAAGUCAGAUGUGAAAGCCCGGGGCUCAACCUCGGAAUUGCAUUUGAAACUGGCAAACUAGAGUACUGUAGAGGGGGUAGAAUUUCAGGUGUAGCGGUGAAAUGCGUAGAGAUCUGAAGGAAUACCGGUGGCGAAGGCGGCCCCCUGGACAGAUACUGACACUCAGAUGCGAAAGCGUGGGGAGCAAACAGGAUUAGAUACCCUGGUAG